CUGGCGGCGUGCCUAAUACAUGCAAGUCGAGCGAACGGACGAGAAGCUUGCUUCUCUGAUGUUAGCGGCGGACGGGUGAGUAACACGUGGAUAACCUACCUAUAAGACUGGGAUAACUUCGGGAAACCGGAGCUAAUACCGGAUAAUAUUUUGAACCGCAUGGUUCAAAAGUGAAAGACGGUCUUGCUGUCACUUAUAGAUGGAUCCGCGCUGCAUUAGCUAGUUGGUAAGGUAACGGCUUACCAAGGCAACGAUGCAUAGCCGACCUGAGAGGGUGAUCGGCCACACUGGAACUGAGACACGGUCCAGACUCCUACGGGAGGCAGCAGUAGGGAAUCUUCCGCAAUGGGCGAAAGCCUGACGGAGCAACGCCGCGUGAGUGAUGAAGGUCUUCGGAUCGUAAAACUCUGUUAUUAGGGAAGAACAUAUGUGUAAGUAACUGUGCACAUCUUGACGGUACCUAAUCAGAAAGCCACGGCUAACUACGUGCCAGCAGCCGCGGUAAUACGUAGGUGGCAAGCGUUAUCCGGAAUUAUUGGGCGUAAAGCGCGCGUAGGCGGUUUUUUAAGUCUGAUGUGAAAGCCCACGGCUCAACCGUGGAGGGUCAUUGGAAACUGGAAAACUUGAGUGCAGAAGAGGAAAGUGGAAUUCCAUGUGUAGCGGUGAAAUGCGCAGAGAUAUGGAGGAACACCAGUGGCGAAGGCGACUUUCUGGUCUGUAACUGACGCUGAUGUGCGAAAGC
This 742-nucleotide ribosomal RNA is filed under the name uncultured bacterium. RNAcentral describes it as "bacterial SSU rRNA". It matches the Rfam family "Bacterial small subunit ribosomal RNA", at positions 36 to 760 of the family's 1533-position model. The record is from RNAcentral.